Molecule: ribosomal RNA, 247 nt
Filed under: uncultured bacterium
Lineage: Bacteria
Description: partial small subunit ribosomal RNA
Rfam family: Bacterial small subunit ribosomal RNA
Source: RNAcentral
AGAAUCAACGCUGGCGGCGUGCCUAACACAUGCAAGUCGCACGAGAAAGGGGACUUCGGUCCCUGAGUACAGUGGCGCACGGGUGAGUAACACGUGAAUCAUCUACCUUCGAGUGGGGAAUAACUGAGAGAAAUCUUAGCUAAUACCGCAUAAUACCUACGGGUCAAAGCAGCAAUGCGCUUGAAGAGGAGUUCGCGGCAGAUUAGUUAGUUGGCGGGGUAACGGCCCACCAAGACGAUGAUCUGUA